RNAcentral lists this ribosomal RNA (253 nucleotides) under uncultured bacterium. RNAcentral's name for it is "partial 16S ribosomal RNA". It matches the Rfam family "Bacterial small subunit ribosomal RNA", at positions 524 to 776 of the family's 1533-position model. The record is from RNAcentral.
GACGUAGGGGGCCAGCGUUGUUCGGAAUUACUGGGUGUAAAGGGUUCGUAGGCGGUGUGGCAAGUCGGGAGUGAAAUUUCUGGGCUCAACUCAGAGACUGCUUCCGAAACUGCUGUGCUUGAGUGUGGGAGAGGCGCGUGGAAUUGCAGGUGUAGCGGUGAAAUGCGUAGAUAUCUGCAGGAACACCCGUGGCGAAAGCGGCGCGCUGGACCACUACUGACGCUGAGGAACGAAAGUGUGGGGAGCGAACAGG